RNAcentral lists this ribosomal RNA (433 nucleotides) under uncultured bacterium. Its description in RNAcentral is "partial 16S ribosomal RNA". It matches the Rfam family "Bacterial small subunit ribosomal RNA", at positions 29 to 507 of the family's 1533-position model. The record is from RNAcentral.
AACGAACGCUGGCGGCAUGCCUAACACAUGCAAGUCGAACGAGACCUUCGGGUCUAUUGGCGCACGGGUGCGUAACGCGUGGGAACCUUCCCUUAGGUUCGGAAUAACUCCCCGAAAGGGGUGCUAAUACCGGAUAAUGUCUUCGGACCAAAGAUUUAUCGCCUUUGGAUGGUCCCGCGUUGGAUUAGCUAGUUGGUAGGGUAAAAGCCUACCAAGGCGACGAUCCAUAGCUGGUCUGAGAGGAUGAUCAGCCACACUGGGACUGAGACACGGCCCAGACUCCUACGGGAGGCAGCAGUGGGGAAUAUUGGACAAUGGGCGAAAGCCUGAUCCAGCAAUGCCGCGUGAGUGAUGAAGGCCUUAGGGUUGUAAAGCUCUUUUACCCGGGAUGAUAAUGACAGUACCGGGAGAAUAAGCUCCGGCUAACUCCGUG